Molecule: ribosomal RNA, 463 nt
Filed under: uncultured bacterium
Lineage: Bacteria
Description: bacterial SSU rRNA
Rfam family: Bacterial small subunit ribosomal RNA
Source: RNAcentral
AUUGAACGCUGGCGGCAUGCCUAACACAUGCAAGUCGAACGGUAACGCGGAGAGCUUGCUCUCUGGCGACGAGUGGCGGACGGGUGAGUAAUACUUAGGAAUCUGCCCAGUAGUGGGGGACAACAUUCGGAAACGGAUGCUAAUACCGCAUACGCACUACGGUGGAAAGUGGGGGACCUUCGGGCCUCACGCUAUUGGAUGAGCCUAAGUCGGAUUAGCUUGUUGGUGAGGUAAAGGCUCACCAAGGCGACGAUCCGUAGCUGGUCUGAGGGGACGAUCAGCCACACUGGGACUGAGACACGGCCCAGACUCCUACGGGAGGCAGCAGUGGGGAAUAUUGCACAAUGGGCGAAAGCCUGAUGCAGCAAUGCCGCGUGUGUGAAGAAGGCCUGCGGGUUGUAAAGCACUUUCAGUAGGGAGGAUUAUGACGUUACCUACAGAAGAAGCACCGGCUAACUCUGUG